This is a non-coding RNA of Oryza glaberrima (African rice), 194 nucleotides long. The record is from Rfam. NCBI's taxonomy places the organism in Eukaryota, Viridiplantae, Streptophyta, Magnoliopsida, Poales, Poaceae.
UUUAAGUGCAACCAUAAUUUUUCACGCUCAACUUUGAUCGUCUGUUCUAUUUAAUUUUUUUAUAUAAUUAGUGUUUUUAUUGUUAUAAGAUGAUAAAACAAGAAUAAUACCUUACUCAUGACAUAUGUUUUUAUUUUUUAUUAAAUAAGAUGAACGGUUAAAGUUAAGUAUGAAAAACUAUACCUACACUUAAA